GCAAAAGAGAGAUCCAGAGUGUUCUAGGAAAGCACGAUCCAGGGAAGGAGGUGAAGUCUGAGCUAAGGCUUGAUGGAUCUUAAAAGCGGGAUGGAUUGCAGUCCUGGGAGAAUUCACAGAAGGCUGUGAAUCCUGGUGAUGGAAGCAAGCUCAGAGGCCAUCCAGUCCAACUAGAAACUAAAUGAAGUAAUGAAGCUAUCUAGCUGAAAGCAGAGAACAAAAUUUCAGAAGAAUCAAAAUUCCAGGUGACCUGGAAAGGAUCAGGAAUAUCUGUGGAAGGUAUAAAUAGGCUACAAUGUCCAAAAAAGGAAAAACAAAACACCAUUGAGGACAUGUGUUCAGAAAAGGAGGGAGGUACGCCAUGUAGUAGCAUAAGGGAUAAAUGGACAGCCUCAGUGCUACAUUAGAACCAGAGGAAAGCUUCCCUUUAGUCGGCUGAGGUAGACUAUCUAUACAAGGUGAUAGUCUCACUGUUCCACAUUAAUGAAGAUGCUUGGAGUUCUUUCUUGGAUGAAAGGCUCAAAGCUAUAUACAAUUAGGAAGAAAAGCUCAUCAGGCAGAGAAAGAAAGGGAAGAGAAGAGAAGGGAAGGGAAGGGAAGGGAAGGGAAGGGAAGGGAAGGGGGAAGGGGGAAGGGGGAAGGGGAGGGAAGGGAAUGAGUGGGGGAGAAGAAAGAGGAGAAGGUAUGGCACAGAGCUCCUGGCACAGAGAGAUACAAAAUAUCAAUACAUGAGUGACACUCCUUAUUCUCUUCAAAAACUUAAGAUGGGAAUUUUUCCAAGGUUCUGUCCUUUACCCUCUUCUCUCUUCACACUCUCUUCUCUGGCAAUCUAUUUGUUCCCAGAACUUAACCAUCAGCUCUGCAGAUAAUUCUCCCAAAUCUCUCCCCAUACCCUUGCCCUCUCUUCUGGGCUCCAGGCUCCCAUUUUCUUUGUAUAUAUUCCAAGAGCACCUCCAUAUCAACUUAUCCACCACAGGAUGGAUGAUAACCUGGAGCUGCUCUAUUAUAGUGGAGAUUUCUUUUGGGUAUAGAGUGCCCAAAAGAUGGCUGCUAAGGUCUUUCUAACUCUAAAAUCUGUGAUAUACAAAAAAGAAAGAAAAAAAAAGCAUUUUAUCUUUCCCCUCAAAGUAGCUUCUUAUUUUGACCUUAUUAUUUUUUUCAGUGCCACCCAUUCCCUCAUGUUUGAAACCAUAAUAAGAUAAUCUUUGACUGUUCUUCCUCCCUCGAUUCACAUGGUCAGUUAUCUACUCCCGUUAAUUCUAUAUAAAUAUGUCUUGUAUCUGUCAUCUUUUCUCCACUCCACUGACACCACAUGGCCUGGACUACCUGCAGAAGUCCCCUAACAAGUCUUUCUACUUCCAUGCUCUACUCUACUUUCCUCCUCAAUAAUCUAUCAUUCACAAAAAUGACACACUACCAGCCUGUUGAACUGAAUACUCUAAAGAUCUAGUUAGGUUACUCCUCUGCUCACUAAUGUUUAUGAGUCAGGUUCAAGCUCCUUUAACUGACAUCAAAAGACCUCCACAAUCUGGCACCAUGCUACUUUCCUAGACUUAUUUCAUACUCUUUCUCUCUAUAAACUCUAAGAUCUUGAUGAACUGGACUACCCAAAGUCUCUACCUGCCCAAUACUUUUCUGCCUUUGCUAGACUUCCCUAUGCACUGAAUUUCCUACCUCGCCACCAAUUCCUACUCAUCCUUUAAAGUUUAAUUCAGAUUCUACUUUCUGCACAAAAGCUGAUCAUGACCUCCCAACUUCACCCAGAACUGUCUGUACCUUUGAUAUUAAUUUAUACAUUUUCUAUUAUAGUCAUUUGUGUGUGCUGUAUGUGCAUCUCCAAGAGGUGCCCUCUUGUCUUAGAAUUAAUACUACUGGUUCCAAAUGAAGGGAUGCCCUUCAAUUGGGGAUUGGCUGAAUAAAUUGUGGCAUAUGUUGGUGAUGGAAUACUAUUGUGCUCAAAGGAAUAACAAACUGGAGGAAUUCCAUGGGGACUGGAACAACCUCCAGGAAGUGAUGCAGAGUGAGAGGAGCAGAACCAGGAGAACAUUGUACACAGAGACUAAUACACUGUGGUACAAGAGAACGUAAUGGACUUCUCUACUAGCAGCAAUGCAGUGAUCCUGAACAACCCGGAGGGAUCUAAGAGAAAGAACACUAUCCACAUUCCAAGGAAAAACUGUGGGAGUAGAAACACAGAAGAAAAACAACUGCUUGGGUACAUGGGUUGAGGGGAUAUGGCUGUGGAGGGAGACUCUAAAUGAUCAUCCCAAUGCAAAAACCAAUAACAUGGAAAUAGGUUCUGAUCAAGGACACAUGUAAUACCCAAUGAAAUUGCGCAUCGGCUGUAGGAAGGGUGGGGGGAGGGGAGGGAAGGAAAUAAUGUGAUUCUUGUAACCAAGGAAUAAUGUUCUAAAUUGACUAAAUAAAUUAAUUUUAAAAAAUAAAAGAAAAAA
This is a long non-coding RNA of Monodelphis domestica (gray short-tailed opossum), 2453 nucleotides long. RefSeq lists it as uncharacterized. NCBI's taxonomy places the organism in Eukaryota, Metazoa, Chordata, Mammalia, Didelphimorphia, Didelphidae. The record is from RefSeq and is a predicted model, not a curated record.